UAGGGAAUCUUCGGCAAUGGGGGGAACCCUGACCGAGCAACGCCGCGUGAGUGAAGAAGGUUUUCGGAUCGUAAAGCUCUGUUGUUAAGGAAGAACGAGUGUGAGAAUGGAAAGUUCAUACUGUGACGGUACUUAACCAGAAAGGGACGGCUAACUACGUGCCAGCAGCCGCGGUAAUACGUAGGUCCCGAGCGUUGUCCGGAUUUAUUGGGCGUAAAGCGAGCGCAGGCGGUCAAUUAAGUCUGAUGUGAAAGCCCCCGGCUCAACCGGGGAGGGUCAUUGGAAACUGGUUGACUUGAGUGCAGAAGAGGAGAGUGGAAUUCCAUGUGUAGCGGUGAAAUGCGUAGAUAUAUGGGGGAACACCAGUGGCGAAGGCGACUCUCUGGUCUGUAACUGACGCUGAGGCUCGAAAGCGUGGGUAGCAAACAGG
RNAcentral lists this ribosomal RNA (430 nucleotides) under Bacteroidota bacterium. Its description in RNAcentral is "Bacteroidetes bacterium partial 16S ribosomal RNA". It matches the Rfam family "Bacterial small subunit ribosomal RNA", at positions 355 to 776 of the family's 1533-position model. The record is from RNAcentral. Lineage: Bacteria; Pseudomonadati; Bacteroidota.